This 73-nucleotide transfer RNA is filed under the name Ipomoea nil (Japanese morning glory). It matches the Rfam family "tRNA". From Rfam's summary of the family: Transfer RNA (tRNA) molecules are approximately 80 nucleotides in length. Their secondary structure includes four short double-helical elements and three loops (D, anti-codon, and T loops). Lineage: Eukaryota; Viridiplantae; Streptophyta; Magnoliopsida; Solanales; Convolvulaceae. The record is from Rfam by way of RNAcentral.
GGGGAUGUAGUUAAGAUGGUAGAGCACUUGCUUUGCAUGCGAGAGGUAUAGGGAUCGAUACCUUGCAUCUCCA